RNAcentral lists this ribosomal RNA (1372 nucleotides) under uncultured bacterium. RNAcentral describes it as "16S ribosomal RNA". It matches the Rfam family "Bacterial small subunit ribosomal RNA", at positions 30 to 1393 of the family's 1533-position model. The record is from RNAcentral.
UGAACGCUGGCGGUAUGCUUAACACAUGCAAGUCGAAUGGAAACGAUACUAGCUUGCUAGUAGGCGUCGAGUGGCGGACGGGUGAGUAACGCGUAGGAAUCUGCCUGAUAGUGGGGGAUAGCCCGAAGAAAUUCGGAUUAAUACCGCAUAAUCUAUUCGUAGUAAAGUGGGGGACUUUCGAGCCUCACGCUAUCAGAUGAGCCUGCGUAAGAUUAGCUUGUUGGUAGGGUAAAAGCCUACCAAGGCGACGAUCUUUAGCUGGUCUGAGAGGAUGAUCAGCCACAUCGGGACUGAGACACGGCCCGAACUCCUACGGGAGGCAGCAGUGGGGAAUAUUGGACAAUGGGGGCAACCCUGAUCCAGCAAUACCGCGUGUGUGAAGAAGGCCUGAGGGUUGUAAAGCACUUUCAAUUGUGAAGAAAAGUUAGCGGUUAAUAACCGUUAGCCUUGACGUUAACUUUAGAAGAAGCACCGGCUAACUCCGUGCCAGCAGCCGCGGUAAUACGGAGGGUGCAAGCGUUAAUCGGAAUUACUGGGCGUAAAGCGUGCGUAGGCGGUUUAUUAAGUCAGAUGUGAAAGCCCCGGGCUUAACCUGGGAACUGCAUUUGAAACUGGUCAACUAGAGUAUGGUAGAGGAAAGUGGAAUUUCUGGUGUAGCGGUGAAAUGCGUAGAUAUCAGAAGGAACAUCAAUGGCGAAGGCAGCUUUCUGGACCAAUACUGACGCUGAGGUACGAAAGCGUGGGUAGCAAACAGGAUUAGAUACCCUGGUAGUCCACGCCGUAAACGAUGAUAACUAGCCGUUGGGGGGAUUUACCCUUUAGUGGCGAAGCUAACGCGUUAAGUUAUCCGCCUGGGGAGUACGGCCGCAAGGUUAAAACUCAAAGGAAUUGACGGGGACCCGCACAAGCGGUGGAGCAUGUGGUUUAAUUCGAUGCAACGCGAAGAACCUUACCUGGUCUUGACAUCCUGCGAACUUUCUAGAAAUAGAUUGGUGCCUUCGGGAACGCAGUGACAGGUGCUGCAUGGCUGUCGUCAGCUCGUGUCGUGAGAUGUUGGGUUAAGUCCCGUAACGAGCGCAACCCCUAUCCUUAUUUGCCAGCACAUCAUGGUGGGAACUAUAAGGAGACUGCCGGUGAUAAACCGGAGGAAGGCGGGGACGACGUCAAGUCAUCAUGGCCCUUACGACCAGGGCUACACACGUGCUACAAUGGGAAGGACAAAGAGCCGCGAAGCCGCGAGGUGUAGCUAAUCUCAUAAACCUUUUCGUAGUCCGGAUUGGAGUCUGCAACUCGACUCCAUGAAGUCGGAAUCGCUAGUAAUCGUAGAUCAGAAUGCUACGGUGAAUACGUUCCCGGGUCUUGUACACACCGC